This 1286-nucleotide ribosomal RNA is filed under the name uncultured marine eukaryote. RNAcentral describes it as "SSU rRNA". It matches the Rfam family "Eukaryotic small subunit ribosomal RNA", at positions 451 to 1787 of the family's 1831-position model. The record is from RNAcentral.
UUGAUCCAGGGAGGUAGUGACAAGAAAUAACAACCUAGUCGCAAGACAGUGGAUUGUAAUGAGUGCAAUAUAAAACACUGCACGAGGAACAAUUGGAGGGCAAGUCUGGUGCCAGCAGCCGCGGUAAUUCCAGCUCCAAUAGCGUAUAUUAAAGUUGUUGCAGUUAAAAAGCUCGUAGUUGAAUUUCUAGUCAGUUAAUUUGGAGGUCUCCUUCACUUUAGCUGGCUAUUCGACACUGAACCAUAUCGGUUAUUAAGUUAACCCUAUGGAGAAUUGUCAUUUUACUUUGAAAAAAUUAGAGUGUUUCAGGCAGGCAAUUGCCCGGAUAUCUUAGCAUGGAAUAAUGGAAUAGGACUUUGGUUCAUUUUAUUGGUUAUUGAAUCAGAGUAAUGAUUAAUAGGGACAGUUGGGGGCAUUAGUAUUUAAUUGUCAGAGGUGAAAUUCUUGGAUUUAUUAAAGACUAACUUAUGCGAAAGCAUUUGCCAAGGAUGUUUUCAUUAAUCAAGAACGAAAGUUAGGGGAUCAAAGACGAUCAGAUACCGUCCUAGUCUUGACUAUAAACUAUACCGACUCAGGAUUGGCCAUGUUUAAACUUGGUCAGCACUGUAUGAGAAAUUAAAGUCUUUGGGUUCUGGGGGGAGUAUGGUCGCAAGGCUGAAACUUAAAGGAAUUGACGGAAGGGCACCACCAGGAGUGGAGCCUGCGGCUUAAUUUGACUCAACACGGGGAAACUUACCAAGGCCAAACAGAGGUGGGAUUGACAGAUUGAGAGCUCUUUCUUGAUUCUUUGGGUGGUGGUGCAUGGCCGUUCUUAGUUGGUGGAGUGAUUUGUCUGGUUAAUUCCGUUAACGAACGAGACCUUAACCUGCUAACUAGUUUAUAUUCUCACAGAGUAUAAUACUUCUUAGAGGGACUAUAUGUUUUAAGCAUAUGGAAGUUUGAGGCAAUAACAGGUCUGUGAUGCCCUUAGACGCCUUGGGCCGCACGUGCGCUACAAUGACAUGCUCAACGAGCUCUAUCCUGAUUCGGAAGAAUUUGGGUAAUCUUUUUAGGACAUGUCGUGUUAGGGAUCGAUCUUUGGAAUUAUAGAUCUUCUUUGGAAUUAUAGAUCUUGAAGGUGGAAUUCUUAGUAAGUUCAAGUCAUCAGUUUGUACUGAUUACGUCCCUGCCCUUUGUACACACCGCCCGUCGCUGCUACCGAUUUCGAGUGGUCCGGUGAACCACAUGGACUAUUUGGGCAACCGAAUUGGAAGUGUAGUAAACCUUAUCACUUAGAGGAAGCAGAA